This 253-nucleotide ribosomal RNA is filed under the name uncultured bacterium. RNAcentral describes it as "partial 16S ribosomal RNA". It matches the Rfam family "Bacterial small subunit ribosomal RNA", at positions 524 to 776 of the family's 1533-position model. The record is from RNAcentral.
UACAGAGGUCUCAAGCGUUGUUCGGAUUCAUUGGGCGUAAAGGGUGCGUAGGCGGUCUGUUGCGUCCGCUGUGAAAACUCGGGGCUUAACCCCGAGCCUGCAGUGGAUACGGGCAGACUAGAGGUAGGUAGGGGAGAAUGGAAUUCCUGGUGUAGCGGUGAAAUGCGCAGAUAUCAGGAGGAACACCAAUGGCGAAGGCAGCUCGCUGGGACGUGACUGACGCUGAGACGCGAAAGCGUGGGGAGCAAACAGG